AACGAACGCUGGCGGCAGGCCUAACACAUGCAAGUCGAACGCCCGUAGCAAUACGGGAGUGGCAGACGGGUGAGUAACGCGUGGGAACGUGCCCUUCGGUUCGGAAUAACUCAGGGAAACUUGAGCUAAUACCGGAUACGUCCGUAAGGAGAAAGAUUUACCGCCGAAGGAUCGGCCCGCGUCGGAUUAGCUAGUUGGUGAGGUAAUGGCUCACCAAGGCGACGAUCCGUAGCUGGUCGAGAGGAUGAUCAGCCACACUGGGACUGAGACACGGCCCAGACUCCUACGGGAGGCAGCAGUGGGGAAUAUUGGACAAUGGGCGAAAGCCUGAUCCAGCCAUGCCGCGUGAGUGAAGAAGGCCUUAGGGUUGUAAAGCUCUUUUCAGCGGGGGAANAUAAAUGACGGUACCCGCAGAAGAAGCCCCCGGCUAACUUCGUGCCAGCAGCCG
Molecule: ribosomal RNA, 448 nt
Filed under: uncultured bacterium
Lineage: Bacteria
Description: bacterial SSU rRNA
Rfam family: Bacterial small subunit ribosomal RNA
Source: RNAcentral